This 71-nucleotide transfer RNA is filed under the name Cordylochernes scorpioides. RNAcentral's name for it is "tRNA-Gly". Lineage: Eukaryota; Metazoa; Arthropoda; Arachnida; Pseudoscorpiones; Chernetidae. The record is from RNAcentral.
UGCAUCGGCCAGGAAUCGAAGCUGGGCCGCCCGCGUGGCAGGCGAGCAUUCUACCACUGAACCACCGAUUC